UUUUCCAAGCCCUGCCGCGUUGACCUGGCCUAUGGUAAGCCGCAGGCCCGCUCGAGCCCCAUUAAGCCCCGCCUCGUGAGUCGACGCGUGGCGACGGCGAUGGGGUCGCGGGGCUGCGUGGCGCUGCGGCUCGGGGUGCUGCUGUGGCGCCGGGCCUUCUCCCCGGGAGCGUGGCCCGCGGCGGCCGCGGGGCUCAGGCUUCGGCUGCUGUCCGUGGGGCGGCUUCCGGUGGGACCGACGCUCGGCAAGGUCUGCCCGGCCCCCGACCGAGCGCGCGGCCUGCACGGCGGGCCGGGCCUGGAGGAGCGGGCGGAGGGAACAGCCGGCGAGGGGCGCCCGGAGUCAGGCACCGGAGAUCAUACUGGUCCCAAGUUUGACAUCGAUAUGCUGGUUUCACUUCUGAGGCAAGAAAAUGCCAGAGACAUUUGUGUCAUCAAGGUUCCUCCAGAAAUGAAAUAUACAGAUUACUUUGUAAUUGGUAGUGGAACUUCUGCUCGACACUUACAUGCCAUGGCCUACUACAUUGUGAAAAUGUACAAAUACCUGAAACGUAAAAGUGAGCCUCAUGUUAAGAUCGAAGGGAAGGACACAGAUGACUGGCUCUGUGUGGACUUUGGCAGCAUGGUGAUUCAUUUGAUGCUUCCAGAAACCAGAGAAACGUAUGAAUUAGAGAAAUUAUGGACCCUUCGUUCUUAUGAUGACCAGUUAGCUCAGAUAGCACCUGAGACCUUACCUGAAGACUUCAUUCUUGGAAUAGAAGAUGACACUUCAUCUCUGGCUCCUGUGGAGUUUAAAUGUGAAUAAAAUGGAGAAUAAGCCUGAAACACAGUCUGGACCUGGUGCUUUGGGGAGACUUGUAGCCAAGUAGCCAGUUGUCUAGUUUUAUUGAGGUAGGUUUUAACUUUUAAUGUGGUAUUAACACAUAGGUAACAGGUGCUAUUGGUCAUCAAACAUGUCUCUUCUUUUUGUUAAAUGUAUGAUCUAAAGCAAUUCCGUUGUCUAAAAAUGUAAGUUACGGGCUUCCCUGGUGGCGCAGUGGUUGAGAGUCCGCCUGCCGAGGCAGAGGACAUGGGUUCGUGCCCUGGUCCGGGAAGAUCCCACAUGCCGCGGAGCGGCUGGGGCCGUGAGCCAUGGCCGCUGGGCCUGCGCGUCCGGAGCCUGUGCUCCGCAACGGGAGAGGCCACAACAGUGAGAGGCCCGCGUACCGGAAAAAAAAAAAAAAAAGUAAGUUACAAGAGGAGACCUUUAAAAAGUAAGGUUGCAGUUAUCAGCUUCCAGCAGACAUUAUUUUGAGAACGGCUGGUGGCAUCCAAGUCUGACACAGCUCAGAAAACUCAAGUUCUUAGCAAUACAAGGAUUUGCCUGAAAUCACACCCACAGUGUCAUCUAGUUAUUUCUUGGAUGUCUUAAACCAUAGCUACUCCAUUUUGACUCUUAAUUGUAAUAUUCCCCUUAAUAGCCAAAGCAGAUGUCACCAUUAAUGAUGUUAGUGUUUCUCUAGGUAUGAGAAGAGCAAGAAUCUGGCCCAUAAAAUCUUCUCCUGAAAAUAUCUAACUAUCUAUCGGAAGGCCUGUUCUGCCAGUUUUCCCCAGAGCGCCUCAUUCCUGUUCUCCACUCUGAACUCCUUUUCAGGGGGUGUUGAAGGUCAGCAGCUGCAGCGGCUCGUGAUUUAAUCUUUGUAGAGGCAGACAGCAAGUGCCAAUGGUAUCUGGAAAACGAAGCUGCAUUUGGGGCACGUUACAGAUGAGGAAUGAUCCAUAUGUGCUGGGUGUCAUACAUUUCAGAGAGCAUAAAGUAUACAUUCUCACAGAGACAGGAGUUCGAAAGUUGCCUGGUCCUCAGAAACAACCGGCUAGGUAAAAACUUGUGCAUGUGAUUCUGGAUAGGGGUUCAGCGCCCGUCUGUUGGUUAAGCAAUCUGUCUUUGGUUUGGCAUCUGCCUCUGUGGUGGGCUGUCUCCUGAGCCUUCACUUCCGUCUUGACUGCUGAGGUGGUCCACUUUGCAGAGCUUUCUGCUGUUGGUGCUGCUUUACCUGAGUCAGAAUUUCCUGAAUUUUUCUCUGGGCAACCUGCAGUAGGAGAGAGCUUUGAAAUUUCUACCUGAUCAAGUAUGACCAAAAGUUAAUUUACUCUUCCAUUUCAACAACUUCAAAUUGAAACUUAUUUGAAGAUUAAAGAUACAUACUUAUUAGUUUCUCCUAGCAGAGUCUCUGAAAUCACCUGCUUAAAGGGGGAUUAAAAGUGUUAAGCACCAAGCAGCCUGAAAUAUUUAUAUGACAUGGGGACACGCAUGGGAGGAGGAUCACUCAGGAAGAAGGAAGAAGCAGAAGAGCUCACUUAUCACACUAGAGCCCACUUGCCUGGCAAGCAUAGAAGUGACCAGUUAUUUUGACCACCACUUGGUCAUUCUCAUCAGGCGUCUGGUCACGAGGGACAACAACUUCUGCGCUUGACAAAUUCUGGAGCUCAUUCACCUGAAGGAGAUAAAUACAAAUCAUGUUAAGUGGAGUUGUUCUUUUUUUUUUUUUUUAAAUUACCAUUUCCUUACUAUGUAACCAAAAUACUGAGCUUUGGCUUUAUAUUUAUAAUCUCAUCUAAUAAUACUAAUAAUUCUAUCCGUUUACUAGUAUUGUCCCCAUUUCAAGGUAAUUAAAACUAAGCCUUAGUGAAAGAAACUGACUCGCCCACAGUUGCAUAAGUUAAUGACAAAACCAGAUUCAACCCCUGAAAAUCUGAUUCCAAAAUACACUUUCAAUCACUUCAGAAUUGUAAAUAGCUUUGAAAAUGACUUGGAAGUUUUAUGUGUUAGAAACUGGAAACCAUUUGCUUUUUUCAGUUACAGAGGUAUAAGUUAUAAAUGUAGAUGAAAUUUUUUAAAGUUUCUUUUCAUGUCAUUAAGUGUUUGCACAAUAAAAGUAAAAAGCUGAUGUAUAACAACAGAAAAUGCAAAAUGCCCCUUAUAAAUAUGAGACAGUUCUCCCAUACAAAGUGGUCUGAAAGAGAGGCACUGCUUUCACUGGUAGCUGACACCAACACCCAGGAGGAACAAAAGGCAGUCUUCUCCAAACCUUGGCCCAGACGGUCCUGCUUUUUAUAAGUUAGCCAAAAUUUAGGGACUUGGAACUCCUAAGUACCUUUCAACGCUUUCCCUUUCAUACCACUGCACAGGUUUUGCUGAAGUACUUGCCGUUUUGCCUCCUUUUCCAAUAACUCUGCCAGCAGCAAAGGAUGGCACUCUGAUGUGAGCUUCAAGUUUCACCUCUUCUUUAGGACUAACAAAGUUUUCUUCUUUAAUUUUUCCAUAAAUUCUUCCCUGAGCCUACAGAUGAGAACAUAUCUCAUCAGUGUCAUUCAUGUAGGAAAUGCAAAAAGGUCCAUUAACUUUAAAGACGGCCCGGAUCCACUGGAACAGACCUUUGCAGUGAUACAUCUGCAUUUGAUAGAUUGUGGAACGUUGCACAAGAGGUGGAAAAGUAAGGAAGUCCUAGAAAAGGUUGACAACAAUAAUAACUAUACAUCACAGAUGAGGCAAUUGAAUGAUUGAUAAAAUAAGAUUAAACCAUAUUCUUCUGACAAAAACGGUUAAAGGCAAUAAGUUAGCAGUCAGCCGAACUAAAAUUUUUGCAAAUGACCAUUUGCUCUCCAGUCUUGAAAGGUAAAACCUCUCCUGUUGGCAAUAAGAUAGUAACUGCGUUUUUCUUGAGUAAAAGGGACUGCAGAGGAACUACAGAGCCACCUAUCCGAGGCUCACAAGAAGCCAAGCCGCUGCCUAAAUGGGCCAGCAAGGAAUUUUCUGGUUAAACAUUUCUUCAUCUUAGCCAGAUGGUUUCUACUUCGACUAAGGCUACAAAAUCAAGUUAACAUACACAUCUGACAGUUAUAGUCAAACACAUCCUGUCACUUGCUGCAUACAACUAGAAGUUAUACAUAAUAAACCUCUCCUAUUAUGUACAACCAUUAAUUUGCUCUGGUAUACACCAAAGGAAAAAGAAGUCAGAGUUGGUUUCAUCUGACAAGCUGCCACAGCAGAGAACAAAAACAAAAGUACCGAACACGUUUUCACUGGUGCAGAAAUGAUAAGCUCAUUUUAGGGGGUUACAGGGGAAAAAAAAAAAAAAUCCAUCUUAGUACCCUGUCUUCCAUUCAUCCUCAGUCUCAGGCCACAGAUGUAGCUAUCAACACAGUCAGAGGACACAACGGAUAUACACUGUCCUCCGAAACAAGCUCUUGAAUUCAUAAGAAAAAAUAUGGGUUAGGAGGUUUACUAUUACUUAGAUGUCUAAAAUAAAAUAAUUUAUUUGUUAUUAUCACUGAUCACAUAAAUGACAUUUAAGCAUUAUAGCUUUUCUUAAAUGUCCCAUUUAAGACAACUGAACAAUACAGGCAUAGGAGGAUACAGGGAAACAAACUCUGAAUUCCCCAGCAUACAAGCAUUAUGAAAACUGCAAGAUAGUUAAUUCCAUUUAUAGAAUAAUAAGACCAUAAUUGAUGUUUGUAUUUAUCUUUUAGUAUUUCAAACUAAAAGUGGCUGUCUCUGUAAGUCUGGGAUAGGAAGCAAUUUUUAGCAUCUCUGAGUUUUGAUCUGAACUGCCUGGACCACAAGGCUGGUAUGAGGAAGUAAAUUUCUUGACCCAAGUUUGAGGCUAGCCAACUGUACCCCACAUCUCAAAGCACCUCCUUUUGUUUCCUGUUCUUCCUGUAAAUGAAGUGAAAAAAGCUUCCGAUUUUUAGUGAAAAGUAGAGGUCAAAGAAAGUGAUGGUUUAAAAGGAGGGAAGAAGUGGGCACUUGUUAACUUAGCCACAUUUUAGAGCUAAGAGAAGUAAGGUUAAAGAGUUAUCCUGUUAACACAGCUGCUAAGUGGUAGGAACAAGACAGGAGUUUUGGAUAAAUUGCACUGAAUUGAGUAGCUGCUUUUACCUAUGACAAACAAGACACCCUACUGAGUUUAUGAGAGAAAUCACAUACUCAAAGGUAUACGUUUGUGAAUUUGAGGAUCUGGCAGGGUCUUAGUCUGAUUCAUCCCAAGUCUGCUCAGCACCACCACCAGCACAUUUAUGUUGUACUUCCUGUGUCAGGCACUAUUCUAAGCAAUUCAUAUAUUGUUUAAACCUUAUUUAAACUUUGUGGGUGUUUUUAACCCCGAUUUUAUAGAUGAGGAACUAGGCAGAGAAAGGCUAAGUAACUUGCCCAAGGUCACACCACUGGUAAAUGGUAAAGCUGGGCUUUGAACCAGCAACCUGGCUACCAGGUCUCUGCUCUUCAUCACCCUGCUACACCACCUCUCAGGACAUGGUGGGAGGCAUUCCAGCCCCAAAGGCCCCAAACCCCAGUAUGACCAAUGGUUCACACCAGGACAAAUGCUGUAAGAGUUCCUGCCAUUUCUACCUCUAAAAUUCAAAAGAUUAGAGUGGCUUGUUGACCGACUGUGGACAAGGGCUAACGGUUAACCCAAGGGUAAGAGCAAACGGGGACAUUUUAAUUCAAGGUUGAGGCCUCUCUGGGACAAGAGGAAAAACUUGAGAACAGCAAGGCAUAUGAAUCAGACUUGUAAAUUUCAGUCUUAAGGUCUCACCUUCACACAUGCUAACAGGGCAUUGAGCAAAUUCUCCUUUGGGAGAUAAUCAAAACCAACAACCAUUACAGAACUCUCAAAAUUAACCAAAGGCUUUGGUUUAUUUUUAAAGUGUAAUUUGCAGUAUGUUUCUACUCUGUUCUUAGUCUUAGAAAUUUCCAUUGAGAGAUUCUUUAUACUGAGUAUUAGAUUUUUUUUUACAGGAGAAGCCAGGUUAUGGAUUUCCCGAAAAGAAGACAUCCAUUCAUUUGUUACCUGUGCACACACUCCAGAGCACAUACCUUGAACUGAGCCUCCGGUGGCCCAGUGAUGAUCACCAUCCUCACUUUAGCAUCUGGUGCUUCAGCUGGAGCGAUCUGUAACAGACCCAGUAACGGGUUAUGACACUUUCAGGUGCCACCAAUAGAAAUGGUACACCAACCAGCCUGUCAUUUGCACAUGACUUACUGAAAUGCAGAAUGAAAGCCUUCUGGAAGGUAGUUACAUGAAGCAGUGAUUAAUGUGGAUACAUUAGUUAUGGCUCCUGCCGUAUACUGUGUACUUACACUGUGCCUGGCCCUAAUGUAAAAGUCCAGAUGCAGCCUCUACAUAAUCCUCACUAUUUCCUGACGAGGUACUGCCUCAUGGAGAGGCCAAAGGCUGGAGAAGGUGAGUCACCUGGCCCAUGAUCACACAGUCCAGUGAAGCUGGAGGGAGAGCUGGGUCUGGCUCCACCAUCACAUUCCUUGUCACUACACCAGUGGGUGCUCAAAGGGUGGUUCUUGGCCCACGCGCAUCACAACACCCUGGGCCUCCUGUAUGUGCAAGAAACUGCUAGGUUCCCAGUCUAAGCCUAUCAGUACAUUCCCCCAAAGUACACUCGCUGGACUAACAUAUGGAAUAAACUAACAUUAAUUUGGCAGAAGAAAAGUAAACUCAGACUCUUCUAUUUUGGCAGAGCGUGUGAAAUGACACAAAAAGCCUAGGCUAGGGAAUUGUUGCAGAGACUGUUGAAGGGGGAGGAAACCAGCAUUCCCUUAGUAAGAAAGGAUUUGGGGAGUUGGCUGGUAGGAAGUGUUUUAAAAGAAAAAAAUUUGCUAGGUAUUUGCUGUGCAAGAAGCAAUUCCCUAUAGUAAAUAAUGAGAACAGGAGGCAAAAAAUACAAUAAAAGCCAUCCCAACUACCACUCAGUAUGAUCACUGUCAAUUACUUAUAGUCUAGUAGGCCCUUCUCCACCUUCAUAAUCAAAACAAUGUUUUUUACUUUUAAUAGACUCAUGCUUCCUCCCUCAAAAUAAAGCUAACAUUUCUGUUACUUAGACCCAAAUUAAUACUAUUGCUACUUUAUUGCUGGGCACUAAUUGUGAGUCUGUAAAACAAGCCAAUAAUUACUUCCUUUUAGACCACACUCUUAGGAUUAUUCACAGGAAACCCCAAAAAGAAGGUAUCAUUCUUCGUCUUUCUGACUAAGGUUUCCUUUUUUUAAAAAGGAUCUUUGUCAACACUGGUGAUAGAGGGCUGGGGCUGAGGACACUUGUACACUGAGGUUAGGAGUACAAAUUGCUACAAUCUCUCAAAAGCCUGAAAAAAGCACAUGCCCUGUGACUCACCAAACCCACUUCUGUAGACUUACGUUAAAGGAUAAGGUUAUAUAUGACAAUUUGACCAAAAGAACUUUGUCUAUCCCUGUGCAGGUUAAAUUAGGAACAAUCUUAAUGUCCAGUAAGUUAACACAAAUGAUUAUGGUUCGGUAAUACCAAAUAUAUGCCUAUUAAAGUAAGUACAUAUAUGGAAAUUUACAUUAUGGAAAUGUAGCGAAGUGUUAGGAGUGCUGAUGAAUCUUUCAGAUUAUGCAUGUUUCAGACUUUUUGGAAACAAAAAUAUUUUAACCUCAUCAUAAAACCUCCAUUAAAGCCAGAAAGAAAAAGAGCCAAACGUCUAAAUACCCAGUUCUUCUUGUUCAUGAAAUGUUCGUCGCAGUUUUUCCAAAACAAAGCUGCUAGGUUCUUUUUGCAUGUGUGAGCAUGUUUUACAGAUUAACUCAGUAAUCAGGAAACUAACAGGAUAGUAAAGUUAGUUCACCCCUUGGUCUUUUAUCAUGUCUUUUCCUUUACCCAUUUAUUUAUUUUGGCUGCAUUUUCUGCUCACGUUAUUUUGUUAUCUUUUGCUACAAGAGAGAAUAUGAGGGCUUUCCUGUGUGUUUUGCUUUUUUAUUAACUGUGUAGUUUACAUACAGUAACGCUCACUCCUUUGGUACCAAAUACAUAGUUGUAAAUACCACCACAAUCAACAUAAAAACAGCUUCUGUCACUCAAAAUUUCCUCAUGCUGCCUUUGUUUUCAACCCCUCCACCUCCAACUCCUAGCAACCACUGAUUUUUUUUCUCAAUUUCCAUAGUUCUGUCUUUUCCAGAAUUUUCAUAUAAGUGGAAUCAUACAGUAUGUGGCCUUUUGAGUCUUCUUUCUCUUAGCAUAAUACAUGUGAUUCACUCAAGUUGUUUUAUGUAUCAAUAGUUCCCUCCUUUUUACUGCUAAGUAAUUAUUAUAUAGACGGGCCACAGUUUAUGCAUUUGCCAGCUGAUGAACAUUUGCUUCUUCCCCAUUUCCCAGUUAUAAAUAAAGAUACUAUGAACAUUUGA
This is an RNA transcript of Orcinus orca (killer whale), 8188 nucleotides long. It is a transcript of the gene named mitochondrial assembly of ribosomal large subunit 1, with no coding region annotated. NCBI's taxonomy places the organism in Eukaryota, Metazoa, Chordata, Mammalia, Artiodactyla, Delphinidae. The record is from RefSeq and is a predicted model, not a curated record. The transcript is spliced from 7 exons.